UCCUACGGGAGGCAGCAGUGGGGAAUUUUCUGCAAUGGGCGAAAGCCUGACAGAGCAAUACCGCGUGAGGGAAGACAGCCCACAGGGUUGUAAACCUCUUUUGUCAAGGAAGAAGUUCUGACGUUACUUGACGAAUAAGCAUCGGCUAACUCCGUGCCAGCAGCCGCGGUAAGACGGAGGAUGCAAGUGUUAUCCGGAAUCACUGGGCGUAAAGCGUUUGUAGGUGGUUUAGUAAGUCUAUUAUUAAAUCUUGAAGCUCAACUUCAGAACUGUAAUAGAAACUACUGAACUUGAGGAUAGUAGGGGUAAAGGGAAUUUCCAGUGGAGCGGUGAAAUGCGUAGAGAUUGGAAGGACCACCGAUGGCGAAGGCACUUUACUGGGCUAUAUCUGACACUAAGAGACGAAAGCUAGGGUAGCAAAUGGGAUUAGAUACCCCAGUAGUCCUAGCUGUAAACGAUGGAUACUAGAUGUUGUGUGUAUCGAUCCAUGCAGUAUCGUAGCUAACGCGUUAAGUAUCCCGCCUGGGAACUAUGCUCGCAAGAGUGAAACUCAAAUGAAUUGACGG
Molecule: ribosomal RNA, 566 nt
Filed under: uncultured bacterium
Lineage: Bacteria
Description: bacterial SSU rRNA
Rfam family: Bacterial small subunit ribosomal RNA
Source: RNAcentral